RNAcentral lists this ribosomal RNA (253 nucleotides) under uncultured bacterium. RNAcentral describes it as "partial 16S ribosomal RNA". It matches the Rfam family "Bacterial small subunit ribosomal RNA", at positions 524 to 776 of the family's 1533-position model. The record is from RNAcentral.
UACGGGGGGGGCAAGCGUUGUUCGGAAUUACUGGGCGUAAAGCGCGUGUAGGCGGCAGCGUAAGUCGGGCGUGAAAUCCCACGGCUCAACCGUGGAAGUGCACUCGAAACUGCGCAGCUAGAGUCCUGGAGAGGAAGGUGGAAUGCUUGGUGUAGAGGUGAAAUUCGUAGAUAUCAAGCGGAACACCGGUGGCGAAGGCGGCCUUCUGGACAGUGACUGACGCUGAGACGCGAAAGCGUGGGGAGCAAACAGG